This 252-nucleotide ribosomal RNA is filed under the name uncultured bacterium. Its description in RNAcentral is "partial 16S ribosomal RNA". It matches the Rfam family "Bacterial small subunit ribosomal RNA", at positions 524 to 776 of the family's 1533-position model. The record is from RNAcentral.
UACGUAGGUUGCAAGCGUUGUCCGGAUUUAUUGGGUUUAAAGGGUGCGUAGGCGGCAAAUUAAGUCAGUGGUUAAAGGCAAUUGCUUAACGAUUGUUAGCCAUUGAUACUGGUUUGCUUGAGUGCGUUGGAGGGAGAUGGAAUACGUGGUGUAGCGGUGAAAUGCAUAGAUAUCACGUAGAACACCGAUUGCGAAGGCAUUCUCCUACGACGCAACUGACGCUGAGGCACGAAAGCAUGGGUAGCAAACAGG